AACGUAGGUGGCAAGCGUUAUCCGGAAUUACUGGGCGUAAAGGGUGUGCAGGCGGGGUGGCAAGUGGUGUAUGAAAUAUCCCAGCUUAACUGGGAGGGGUUAUGCCAGACUGCUACUCUAGAGGACGAGAGAGGGGCGUGGAAUUCCGAGUGUAGAGGUGAAAUUCGUAGAUAUUCGGAGGAACACCAGUGGCGAAGGCGGCUCACUGGUCCAUUACUGACGCUGAGGUGCGAAAGCGUGGGGAGCAAACAGG
RNAcentral lists this ribosomal RNA (253 nucleotides) under uncultured bacterium. Its description in RNAcentral is "partial 16S ribosomal RNA". It matches the Rfam family "Bacterial small subunit ribosomal RNA", at positions 524 to 776 of the family's 1533-position model. The record is from RNAcentral.